RNAcentral lists this ribosomal RNA (621 nucleotides) under Escherichia coli. Its description in RNAcentral is "bacterial SSU rRNA". It matches the Rfam family "Bacterial small subunit ribosomal RNA", at positions 70 to 680 of the family's 1533-position model. The record is from RNAcentral. Lineage: Bacteria; Pseudomonadati; Pseudomonadota; Gammaproteobacteria; Enterobacterales; Enterobacteriaceae.
UACAGGAAGCAGCUUGCUGCUUCGCUGACGAGUGGCGGACGGGUGAGUAAUGUCUGGGAAACUGCCUGAUGGAGGGGGAUAACUACUGGAAACGGUAGCUAAUACCGCAUAACGUCGCAAGACCAAAGAGGGGGACCUUCGGGCCUCUUGCCAUCGGAUGUGCCCAGAUGGGAUUAGCUAGUAGGUGGGGUAACGGCUCACCUAGGCGACGAUCCCUAGCUGGUCUGAGAGGAUGACCAGCCACACUGGAACUGAGACACGGUCCAGACUCCUACGGGAGGCAGCAGUGGGGAAUAUUGCACAAUGGGCGCAAGCCUGAUGCAGCCAUGCCGCGUGUAUGAAGAAGGCCUUCGGGUUGUAAAGUACUUUCAGCGGGGAGGAAGGGAGUAAAGUUAAUACCUUUGCUCAUUGACGUUACCCGCAGAAGAAGCACCGGCUAACUCCGUGCCAGCAGCCGCGGUAAUACGGAGGGUGCAAGCGUUAAUCGGAAUUACUGGGCGUAAAGCGCACGCAGGCGGUUUGUUAAGUCAGAUGUGAAAUCCCCGGGCUCAACCUGGGAACUGCAUCUGAUACUGGCAAGCUUGAGUCUCGUAGAGGGGGGUAGAAUUCCAUGUGGUAGCG